Mus musculus (house mouse) is the source of this 1295-nucleotide long non-coding RNA. RefSeq annotates it as predicted gene, 29979. The transcript has 4 exons. The record is from RefSeq and is a predicted model, not a curated record. NCBI's taxonomy places the organism in Eukaryota, Metazoa, Chordata, Mammalia, Rodentia, Muridae.
AUUUCCCCGUCCCUACUUCACAAGCUUGCCCUGGAUUCCUGAACUCAAGCAUUCUGCUUCUUGUUAAGAAUUUCAAAAGGCGGCUCCUCCGAAAGCCGACACUGGCCACGGCCCAACCUUGAAAUGAAAAGCAAAUCUGCUUCUAAAGGCUUCCCCUUCUAUCAGGAUUGCCUGUCCUUGUGGAUGUCCUGACAGGGGCAGGCAGAGAGAAGCGAUCCCCUCAAAUUCCAUUUUAACACCCAUUCCGGAUCGGAGGAAUAUUAAAGGGCAAGCCAACAGCCCUACACCUUGCUGCUUGUAUGUGUCAGCAGCCGUGGCUCAUGUCCUGGGGCAGAGGCGCCGAAGAUGUGAGGGCUGAGCUGCUCAUCCGAUGGCUUGAUUGACACUUUGCAGACAGGGGUGGAAGAAGCGAGCCGGGGAAGCAGCAAGCUGUACAGCUCAGAAAUAAUGAGAGGACCCGAGUGGAGAGAGAAAGCGGAAUAAAUAAGAGAGACCUAGGAGUGCAGAGGGAGAGCCUUCUGCUCUGUUUUCUUCCCUGCCUCACUUGGCCAAGGAGCUGAAGCCUAGGGCAAGGAGACCUUUCCAUGAAGCUCCGAGGACAUUAAAGGCAAGUCAGAUGUCUAAGCAAUGUCCCAUCACCCUCUGUGGAGGAGAGGCUGUGUCUGGGGUUGAGAUUCUGUCAAUACCUCCCUCUGCUCUGGCACCUGCUGCUCUUCCUGGCCAUUCCCAGUCUUCACAGCCUGACAUCACCGUUGCUGCAAGAUAGCAAUGGUUAAAAAUGGACCAUGGCAAUUAUGAGCAAAGAUGGCUGCCUCCCUCACUGGACAGCAAAAGUGGAAAUCUCAUCCUACCAGCCACCAGGAGAGCUGGCCCUGUGUAAGCCAGGCAGGCUUUGGCUGGAGGACCAGUAUGCAUGGGACCCCUAAAGCACCAUCAUGAAUGGAAAGCCUGCUGUGAUUCAGCCACGGAAGAAGGAGAAAGCAGGGAAACAGAACUAUGGAGGGAGGACAAGAGAUCAAAGAUCUGGGAAGUAAGGAGGAAGAGAAAGCCCCCGCUGGUCCCGCAAAUCGAUUCUCUGCAAGGCCCGCCUCCCCGUCUGUGCUCCGAACUCCUAAGCAGAAUGUAGCCUCCAUGGGAUGCCAGGCCUGAACAGAAGGGCCCAGGAGCACGGGGCAGACACACAUGCCAGGCUGCCAGAACCACUGGGCCUGAUUUGUCCUACAGGGAGGUCCUGCAUCCUCCAGACACCCCCUGACCUCUCUCCAAAAUACACACGCUCUGUUUGCUUCAGGGGA